CAGCCACUCAACACUAUCACAAGGCCGCACAAGCUAGUAGACAAUCUCCUCAGAAGUAUUAGCGGAGCCUCCCAGCUAGCAAUAUGGCGAAGUGCCUCGCCGUCGCGCUCCUCCUACUGGUGGUGCUCGCGUCCUGCGACGGGAGGGAGCUGAACCAGAAGGACCAGGCACUGGCCGGUGCCGGUGGUGGCGUCGGCGAGUCGAAGGUGUUGGGGUUGCCUGACCUGCCGCCUGUGGGAACCGUUACCGGUACCAGCACCACUAACGGCCCGCUGGUGGCGCUUCCUGCCCUUCCCGGGAUCCCUGCUCACCCAUGAUCACCUCUAGUUCAUGUGCUGGCUUACAAGAUGAAGCUCACCUCGUGACUUUACACUUCUAGGCUCUAGCUUAACAUCGCCCGGAAGGCAAACACCGGCGUUUCGCUGAUGUCCAUGUUCCUUCCUUAAUGGGCGUCUGUAUCAUCCAUCCUCGUCUGUAUUUCUUUUCAGUCCAUGUUCUAGUAUUUUUCGUUCCUUGAUGUGCUACAUGUAUGAUGUAUCAUCAACGUAAUAAAUACUUCUUUCUUCAAUGUGUUCGCCUUUUGCAUCAUCUACGUAC
This 597-nucleotide ribosomal RNA is filed under the name Triticum aestivum (bread wheat). RNAcentral describes it as "partial small subunit ribosomal RNA". Lineage: Eukaryota; Viridiplantae; Streptophyta; Magnoliopsida; Poales; Poaceae. The record is from RNAcentral.